Canis lupus familiaris (dog) is the source of this 972-nucleotide long non-coding RNA. RefSeq lists it as uncharacterized. The record is from RefSeq and is a predicted model, not a curated record. Lineage: Eukaryota; Metazoa; Chordata; Mammalia; Carnivora; Canidae. The transcript has 2 exons.
UCAGCAGGGGGUGCUCAGUACCUGCAAAGGUGAGAAACCCAGCCAGGGCCCCAGGUCUCAGCCAGCUUCUGAUCGGACUGCCUGAAGGAGAACAGCCCCAAGAAAGCCUCUGAAACUGCAUUGGUCUUUCCGUGUAAGGAUCUCCCCACGGGUCUCUGGGUUAACUCCAGUAGAUCACCCUCACUUUUGCAGAAAAAGAAACAGACUCAAAGGAGAAACCAACUCAACCCCAGGCUGCACAGAUGAAAUAACAAAUGCGGAGUCAGAAUUCAAAUCUGGGUCCUUUUAACCCCAAAGGACGCAGCCAAACAUCCUGGGGUCUGAACACCCCCUCCAAACAACGGGUCAGACUCUCCUAGCUGGGACUCCUUCCAUAAUUAGAAGUAAUCCUUCCCUCGCCUGACCUCCGAAACUGUGAGUCCAGGCUCCAGGUUUGAACAUCUUGGUCAAAGAAGCCAGAAAAAUCCCAGUUACAGUUAUCCACUCCAUCAGCAUGAUUAACAACCACAAAUAUGUACAGGAGCCAUGAAAAUGGGCAGGAAGCUAAAGUCGCUGAGUAGGAAGAUGAAUCUAAUGGCCUCGGCCUUCAAGUGGACAUUCUGGUCCUUAAGGGAAAACCAAGCUGUGAGCACCUGGCAUUGGGGAUUGCAGAUCCUGGGCCUCCCAGAGGAGGAAGUGCAGAGAAGAGGACAGGGAGGGGAGCCGGAGCCCCCAGUUAGCAUUAUCAGCGAGGUGUCAGCCGUCUGUGCCCAGGAGACGGCAAGCCUGGCUUCCAUUUCUGGCCUCUCUACGUCGUGGUGUGGCUUUGGGCAAGUUGCUGAAACCGUGUGCGUGCCAGUGUCCUCACCUGCAACAAAAGGAUGACGGUGCUUUCCCAUAGGGUGGUUUGAGGAUUUUAUAGGCAUUGAUAAGUAUAAAUGGCUAACACUUCUUUUUUUAAUAAAAAGAGUGUAUUAUGCUACUUUUCCAUUA